GACGGAGGGUGCUAGCGUUGUUCGGAAUGACUGGGCGUAAAGGGCGCGUAGGCGGCUCGUGAAGUCGGGUGUGAAAGCCCGGGGCUCAACCCCGGAACGGCAUCCGAUACUGGCGGGCUUGAGACCGGGAGAGGAGGGUGGAAUACCCAGUGUAGAGGUGAAAUUCGUAGAUAUUGGGUGGAACACCGGUGGCGAAGGCGGCUCUCUGGCCCGGAUCCGACGCUGAGGCGCGAAAGCGUGGGGAGCAAACAGG
This 253-nucleotide ribosomal RNA is filed under the name uncultured bacterium. RNAcentral's name for it is "partial 16S ribosomal RNA". It matches the Rfam family "Bacterial small subunit ribosomal RNA", at positions 524 to 776 of the family's 1533-position model. The record is from RNAcentral.